Molecule: ribosomal RNA, 727 nt
Filed under: Penicillium commune
Lineage: Eukaryota; Fungi; Ascomycota; Eurotiomycetes; Eurotiales; Aspergillaceae
Description: eukaryotic LSU rRNA
Rfam family: 5.8S ribosomal RNA (bases 371-523)
Source: RNAcentral
GCAUUACGUUCCCUGCUCUUGUACACACCGCCCGUCGCUACUACCGAUUGAAUGGCUCAGUGAGGCCUUGGAGAUUGAGCUUAGGAGAGUUAGCAACGACCCCCCAGAGCCGAAAACUUGGUCAAACUCGGUCAUUUAGAGGAAGUAAAAGUCGUAACAAGGUUUCCGUAGGUGAACCUGCGGAAGGAUCAUUACCGAGUGAGGGCCCUCUGAGUCCAACCUCCCACCCGUGUUUAUUUUACCUGGUGGCUUCGGCGGGCCCGCCUUAACUGGCCGCCGGGGGGCUCACGCCCCCGGGCCCGCGCCCGCCGAAGACACCCUCGAACUCUGUCUGAAGAUUGAAGUCUGAGUGAAAAUAUAAAUUAUUUAAAACUUUCAACAACGGAUCUCUUGGUUCCGGCAUCGAUGAAGAACGCAGCGAAAUGCGAUACGUAAUGUGAAUUGCAAAUUCAGUGAAUCAUCGAGUCUUUGAACGCACAUUGCGCCCCCUGGUAUUCCGGGGGGCAUGCCUGUCCGAGCGUCAUUGCUGCCCUCAAGCCCGGCUUGUGUGUUGGGCCCCGUCCUCCGAUCUCCGGGGGACGGGCCCGAAAGGCAGCGGCGGCACCGCGUCCGGUCCUCGAGCGUAUGGGGCUUUGUCACCCGCUCUGUAGGCCCGGCCGGCGCUUGCCGAUCAACCCAAAUUUUUAUCCGAGGUGACCUCGGAUCAGGUAGGGAACGGGGGAUUUUC